GAUGAGCCUAUGUCGGAUUAGCUUGUUGGUGAGGUAAUGGCUCACCAAGGCGACGAUCCGUAGCUGGUCUGAGAGGAUGAUCAGCCACAUCGGGACUGAGACACGGCCCGAACUCCUACGGGAGGCAGCAGUGGGGAAUAUUGGACAAUGGGCGAAAGCCUGAUCCAGCCAUGCCGCGUGUGUGAAGAAGGCUUUCGGGUUGUAAAGCACUUUCAGUGAGGAAGAACGCCUUCGGCUUAAUACGCCGGAGGAAAGACAUCACUCACAGAAGAAGCACCGGCUAACUCCGUGCCAGCAGCCGCGGUAAUACGGAGGGUGCGAGCGUUAAUCGGAAUUACUGGGCGUAAAGCGCGCGUAGGUGGCUUGAUAAGCCGGUUGUGAAAGCCCCGGGCUCAACCUGGGAACGGCAUCCGGAACUGUCAGGCUAGAGUGCAGGAGAGGAAGGUAGAAUUCCCGGUGUAGCGGUGAAAUGCGUAGAGAUCGGGAGGAAUACCAGUGGCGAAGGCGGCCUUCUGGACUGACACUGACACUGAGGUGCGAAAGCGUGGGUAGCAAACAGGAUUAGAUACCCUGGUAGUCCACGCCGUAAACGAUGUCGACUAGCCGUUGGGGUCCUUGAGACCUUUGUGGCGCAGUUAACGCGAUAAGUCGACCCGCCUGGGGAGUACGGCCGCAAGGUUAAAACUCAAAUGAAUUGACGGGGGCCCGCACAAGCGGUGGAGCAUGUGGUUUAAUUCGAUGCAACGCGAAGAACCUUACCUACCCUUGACAUCGAGAGAACUUUCCAGAGAUGGAUUGGUGCCUUCGGGAACUCUCAGACAGGUGCUGCAUGGCUGUCGUCAGCUCGUGUUGUGAAAUGUUGGGUUAAGUCCCGUAACGAGCGCAACCCUUGUCCCUAUUUGCCAGCGAUUCGGUCGGGAACUCUAGGGAGACUGCCGGUGACAAACCGGAGGAAGGUGGGGACGACGUCAAGUCAUCAUGGCCCUUACGGGUAGGGCUACACACGUGCUACAAUGGUCGGUACAAUGGGUUGCGAAGCCGCGAGGUGGAGCUAAUCCCAUAAAGCCGGUCUCAGUCCGGAUCGGAGUCUGCAACUCGACUCCGUGAAGUCGGAAUCGCUAGUAAUCGUGAAUCAGAAUGUCACGGUGAAUACGUUCCCGGGCCUUGUACACAC
Molecule: ribosomal RNA, 1174 nt
Filed under: Halomonas sp. FIB23_1
Lineage: Bacteria; Pseudomonadati; Pseudomonadota; Gammaproteobacteria; Oceanospirillales; Halomonadaceae
Also listed under: 2 other names
Description: bacterial SSU rRNA
Rfam family: Bacterial small subunit ribosomal RNA
Source: RNAcentral